CGCGUGUGUGAAGAAGGCCUUUGGGUUGUAAAGCACUUUACAUGCGACGAGGAGGUACUAUACUAUACUACUGGAUAUGGACGUUACCCGCAAAUUACCCCGGCUAACUCUGUGCCAGCAGCCGCGGUAAUACAGAGGGUGCGAGCGUUAAUCGGAUUUACUGGGCGUAAAGCGUGCGUAGGCGGCUUUUUAAGUCGGAUGUGAAAUCCCCGAGCUUAACUUGGGAAUUGCAUUCGAUACUGGGAAGCUAGAGUAUGGGAGAGGAUGGUAGAAUUCCAGGUGUAGCGGUGAAAUGCGUAGAGAUCUGGAGGAAUACCGAUGGCGAAGGCAGCCAUCUGGCCUAAUACUGACGCUGAGGUACGAAAGCAUGGGGAGCAAACAGGAUUAGAUACCCUGGUAGUCCAUGCCGUAAACGAUGUCUACUAGCCGUUGGGGCCUUUGAGGCUUUAAUGGCGCAGCUAACGCGAUAAGUAGACCGCCUGGGGAGUACGGUCGCAAGACUAAAACUCAAAUGAAUUGACGGGGGCCCGCACAAGCGGUGGAGCAU
Molecule: ribosomal RNA, 547 nt
Filed under: uncultured bacterium
Lineage: Bacteria
Description: bacterial SSU rRNA
Rfam family: Bacterial small subunit ribosomal RNA
Source: RNAcentral